Molecule: long non-coding RNA, 277 nt
Filed under: Nicotiana benthamiana
Lineage: Eukaryota; Viridiplantae; Streptophyta; Magnoliopsida; Solanales; Solanaceae
Description: long non-coding RNA (NBEN_LNC024791)
Source: RNAcentral
AUCAGGAAGAUAGUUAGUAGGUAUCAGAAAUGCACGUUUUCCAACCAUGUAGAGCUUUCUUAUGAAGAUCCAACCACAUAUCAGUUGCACUAAUGAGAGACCAAGACAAGGCAAACCCAAAAUGAUCCUUCUUCCGGUAUUCAGCCAACUGUUAAAUCUUUGAAGGUGAACGGAAGCAUGACAGUUGGGGUAAGAGAAAGCCGCUGUGAGACCUAGUCCGUGUUUUCUUUUCCAUGUUUUGAAUAAUAAUAUUUCUUCUUUUUUUGUGCUGGCCACA